CGCAUCUGUGCAUGCAGCACAUCAAUAAGCGGAGGAAAAGGAGUAUACCUACGCUUAGGAUGUUGACGAGACUGUCGAUCUCAUCUAUACAUGACUCUGUGCAUAUCAAUAAGCGGAGGAAAAGAAACUAACAAGGAUUCCCCUAGUAACGGCGAGUGAAGCGGGAAGAGCUCAAAUUUGAAAUCUUAAAGGGUUUCCCUUUACGAAUUGUAGUUUAAAGAAGUGUUUUCUGUUGAGGUUUUGGUAAAAGUUCUUUGGAAUAGGACAUCAUAGAGGGUGAGAAUCCCGUAUUUGACCUUUACUUUCAACUUUGUGAUACACUUUCAAAGAGUCGGAUUGUUUGGGAAUGCAGUCCAAAAUGGGUGGUAAAUUUCAUCUAAAGCUAAAUAUUGGCGAGAGACCGAUAGCGAACAAGUACCGUGAGGGAAAGAUGAAAAGAACUUUGAAAAGAGAGUUAAACAGUACGUGAAAUUGUCAAAAGGGAAGCGUUUGACACCAGUGUUGUUUUUCUGAAAAUCAAUUAAAGAACUGUUUAUGCUAAGCUGUUUAGACUUUAUCAGCUAUCUGUUUAGUUUUGAGCUUUUCUUUAAUGCACUUUUCAGUUAACAAGUCAACAUCAAUUUCUUUUGCUGUAAAAAAGCUUGAGGAAGGUGGCUUGAGAUUCGUCUUAAGUGUUUAUAGCCUCUUGCCUAUGCAGUCGGAGAGAUUGAGGUCUGCAGCGUAGAUCCUUCGGGGCUAAAUGCAUUUGUGCUAAGUUAUAGCAUUUUAUAGACAACUUGUUGACUAUGAUUUGUCUUGUAGCUUACUCGCUUAUGUUAUUUUACCUACGCUUAGGAUGUUGACGAGACUGUCGAUCUC
Molecule: ribosomal RNA, 858 nt
Filed under: uncultured Neocallimastigales
Lineage: Eukaryota; Fungi; Neocallimastigomycota; Neocallimastigomycetes; Neocallimastigales
Description: partial large subunit ribosomal RNA
Rfam family: Eukaryotic large subunit ribosomal RNA
Source: RNAcentral